GACAGAGGGGGCAAGCGUUGCUCGGAAUUACUGGGCGUAAAGGGCGCGUAGGCGGAAUGGCAAGUCGGUCGUGAAAUCCUUCGGCUCAACCGAAGAACGUCGAUCGAAACUGCCGUUCUUGAGGAUUGCAGAGGAGACUGGAAUUCCCGGUGUAGCGGUGAAAUGUGUAGAGGUCGGGAGGAACACCGGUGGCGAAGGCGGGUCUCUGGGCAAUUCCUGACGCUGAGGCGCGAAAGCGUGGGGAGCAAACGGG
RNAcentral lists this ribosomal RNA (253 nucleotides) under uncultured bacterium. RNAcentral's name for it is "partial 16S ribosomal RNA". It matches the Rfam family "Bacterial small subunit ribosomal RNA", at positions 524 to 776 of the family's 1533-position model. The record is from RNAcentral.